This 253-nucleotide ribosomal RNA is filed under the name uncultured bacterium. RNAcentral's name for it is "partial 16S ribosomal RNA". It matches the Rfam family "Bacterial small subunit ribosomal RNA", at positions 524 to 776 of the family's 1533-position model. The record is from RNAcentral.
UACGAAGGGGGCUAGCGUUGCUCGGAAUCACUGGGCGUAAAGCGCACGUAGGCGGAUUGUUAAGUCGGGUGUGAAAUCUUGGAGCUUAACUCCGAAACUGCAUUCGAUACUGCCGUGCUUGAGGACUGGAGAGGAGACUGGAAUUUACGGUGUAGCGGUGAAAUGCGUAGAUAUCGUAAGGAAGACCAGUGGCGAAGGCGGGUCUCUGGACAGUUCCUGACGCUGAGGCACGAAGGCCAGGGGAGCAAACGGG